RNAcentral lists this long non-coding RNA (838 nucleotides) under Struthio camelus australis. RNAcentral describes it as "lncRNA (ENSSCUG00000004329.1)". Lineage: Eukaryota; Metazoa; Chordata; Aves; Struthioniformes; Struthionidae. The record is from RNAcentral.
GCGCGCGCCAGCCGGCCCCCGGCCCUGCGGUGCCGCCGGGAGGGUCCUCGCAACACAUGGCUGAUGUGGGACUGAGACCUGCCAGCUCAUUUCAUACGUGGGGCAGGGAAGGGCCAGCGCAGGGUACGGCCUUCCAGGCACGGCUCGCCUUGAGCCUGCUGCCCCGGGUGACAGGGAGGUCAAAGGCUCUGUCAUCACGGUGAGGCAGGCCACCCGGGGACAUCGGUGGUUCAGGUUAGGGAUCUGGGGGGGAAAGAGGUACCCCAGGGCUGGAUAAUGGCGAGAAGAUGGCCCUGUCCGUCUUGCGCGCCUAGGGCUCUCACUUUGUCUGCGUGCCUUCUCCCUACAGGUCCUAUAGCAAACAGAGGUCCGCAAUCGAGAGGGAGUAUGGGCAGGGCUCUUCUUUUAAAUAUCAGAGCCUGGUUUUUGUUCCUUGAAGCAUCCUCUGCUGUUUCCCUUAAAAAGAUGCUGCAGCAGAGUUUUCGCAGGCACUGCAGAGACUGGCAAGCCAGUUCCAGAAGAGAGACUGGCAGCGGGCCCGCAGUGAAGCCAACGACUCGAGGUGGGCUGCAGGCGAGGUGGCUGGGGCAGGGUGGCGAGGGGCUGGGGGUAGCUGUGGCCCAGAGGUCGAAGGUGGCCAGGUACGUGGCCUCCCAGCCAGGAGCAUGGCUGGCAGGACAGGGGCUAAUUCAGACCAGGAGUCAAGUGCCUGGCAGUGCCUGAGAGGCUCUCCCUCCAGAGAUGCAGCCCUGGUGAGGCCAUCUCUAAGGAUGUGGUACCCAACUCGGAAGAGACUGCAGGGGUGGGGUGGCUAGUGAUGUCCUGAGCCGAGAGCUGG